RNAcentral lists this long non-coding RNA (528 nucleotides) under Oryctolagus cuniculus (rabbit). RNAcentral describes it as "lncRNA (ENSOCUG00000033809.1)". Lineage: Eukaryota; Metazoa; Chordata; Mammalia; Lagomorpha; Leporidae. The record is from RNAcentral.
UGACAAGAAAACAUAAGUAAAAUUGGGCAAAUAGUAUGAUUUGGGGAAUGAUAGCAAAAAGAAAAAAUGAUCCUGACUACAAAAAGGACUCAUUCCUUUUUGAGAAUUUAAAAUAGAAGAAGCAAGAAGAAGAAUGUCGGCAUGUAUUCAGAUCAAGAAACAAAGGGAGGGAAGAUUUUGGAGUAAAGUUCCCUAUUUAAAAGUUCAAUUGGCUGUGAGUCAUCCUGCAGUCACAAUGAGCCUUUGUACUUACCAAGUGGCUUUUGUAUAAAGUUCUCACAAAGCAAAGAGCUGCAAAGAAUGCCUGUUCUCUUUUCAGAUGGACUACAACUAAAUCAGAGAGAAGGGAGACAGAAUAGAGCUUCUUCAGUAAUGGAACCACAGACCCAUUAUUACUGGCAAUUUUCAUUAAGUCCUAAGGCUACCAUGUGGAGGAUGUGAUUAGGAAAAUCUAAAUGUUUGAAAUUAAAAGUUUUAAAAACCAUGAAGUAUGAGGACGUCAGAGCAAACUUUCCAAUUUCACAACUA